GAAAUUUUCUAAAUAGAUAGAAUUUUAUUUGGUAAUGAAUAGAUAGUAUCAGGCAGGUAACUGGAGUCCACAGGGGAAAAGAGGUGAGUUGCUCCAGGUAAAGAGACAUCCCAGACAGUCCUCACUGGAAGCAUUAUCUGAAAGGUCCUUCGUAGCCUGGAGUUAGUAAACUGAAUUGUUCUUCACGUCAUUCUUCAGGGAAGGAUGUUGAUCUCACAAGUGUCGUUCUCAAUGCAGCAGGAGUGAAGAAGCCAAGGACUCGGUAAAUACUGAGCUUGUUUUGCCAGUUAAAGUAAGUUAGUUUUCAUAAGGAUGAAAAAGUGCCUCCAGAGACAACACGUUGCUGAGAAGAAUUAGACGACCAAAGCUGCAGAAGAGACUGCAUCUUCGGGGAGACCCCAGAAGUCCAGACAAAAGUCUUUCACAAUACCCAUAGAAGUACUGAGGCCAAGGUAGCCUCAGGGUAGAGAUGACAUUUCAGAACAAGAGAUCAGCAAGCAGGAGAGAUCUGAGCCAGCAAUGCAGAAUAUUUCCUUCAAAGCAAUAA
Molecule: long non-coding RNA, 547 nt
Filed under: Phasianus colchicus (ring-necked pheasant)
Lineage: Eukaryota; Metazoa; Chordata; Aves; Galliformes; Phasianidae
Description: lncRNA (ENSPCLG00000003725.1)
Source: RNAcentral